UCGGCCUCAGAUUGGUAGGACUACCCGCUGAACUUAAGCAUAUCAAUAAGCGGAGGAAAAGAAACUAACAAGGAUUCCCCUAGUAACGGCGAGUGAAGAGGGAAGAGCCCAAGAUUGAAAGCUGGCGUCUUCGGCGUCCGCAUUGUAAUCUCAAGAAGUGUUUUC
Molecule: ribosomal RNA, 165 nt
Filed under: Moesziomyces aphidis
Lineage: Eukaryota; Fungi; Basidiomycota; Ustilaginomycetes; Ustilaginales; Ustilaginaceae
Description: partial 28S ribosomal RNA
Rfam family: Eukaryotic large subunit ribosomal RNA
Source: RNAcentral